RNAcentral lists this ribosomal RNA (301 nucleotides) under uncultured bacterium. Its description in RNAcentral is "partial 16S ribosomal RNA". It matches the Rfam family "Bacterial small subunit ribosomal RNA", at positions 509 to 807 of the family's 1533-position model. The record is from RNAcentral.
CAGUAGCCACGGUAAUACGGAGGGGGCUAGCGUUGUUCGGAAUUACUGGGCGUAAAGCGCACGUAGGCUGCUUUGUAAGUUAGAGGUGAAAGCCUGGUGCUCAACACCAGAACUGCCUUUAAGACUGCAGAGCUAGAACGUCGGAGAGGUGAGUGGAAUUCCGAGUGUAGAGGUGAAAUUCGUAGAUAUUCGGAAGAACACCAGUGGCGAAGGCGGCUCACUGGACGACUGUUGACGCUGAGGUGCGAAAGCGUGGGGAGCAAACAGGAUUAGAUACCCCCGUAGUCCCUGUCUCUUAUAC